This 253-nucleotide ribosomal RNA is filed under the name uncultured bacterium. Its description in RNAcentral is "partial 16S ribosomal RNA". It matches the Rfam family "Bacterial small subunit ribosomal RNA", at positions 524 to 776 of the family's 1533-position model. The record is from RNAcentral.
GACAGAGGGGGCAAGCGUUGCUCGGAAUUACUGGGCGUAAAGGGCGCGUAGGCGGGAUGGCAAGUCGGUCGUGAAAUCCUUCGGCUCAACCGAAGAACGUCGAUCGAUACUGCUGUUCUUGAGGAUUGCAGAGGAGACUGGAAUUCCCGGUGUAGCGGUGAAAUGUGUAGAGAUCGGGAGGAACACCGGUGGCGAAGGCGGGUCUCUGGGCAAUUCCUGACGCUGAGGCGCGAAAGCGUGGGGAGCAAAUGGG